RNAcentral lists this unclassified non-coding RNA (310 nucleotides) under Hevea brasiliensis (rubber tree). The record is from RNAcentral. Lineage: Eukaryota; Viridiplantae; Streptophyta; Magnoliopsida; Malpighiales; Euphorbiaceae.
UCGGUUCACGAUCUGAGCAGCCUCACUGCCGGCGUCGCCAUUCGUAUCCUCGGCGGAGAAAAGCCUGGUGACAUCAAGAUUCCAUCGGUCCGAUACGCUGAUCCCAAAUUCGAUUGGCGCGAAUUGCAGCGCUGGCAUAUCAGCGAGAACAACCUUCCUCCGGGAAGCCAGGUUCUGUUUCGUGAGCCUGGCUUGUGGGCCAAGUACCAUUGGCAGGCAUCCUUGAUCACAGGCGUAAUCCUGAUCCAGGGUGUGUUGAUCAGCGGGUUGCUCCAUGAACGACGUCGCCGCCGAGUCGCCGAGGUCGAAU